UCCCUAACACUAGUUACUGUACAAAAAACCAAGCUCUCUCGGCCUGCUAGUUUAUCCUCCAGGAUGACUUGAUUUGAUGCCCCCAUGGAAACCAGAGUUCACUCCAACCUGGAGAAAAACGCCGGCAUCGGCUUCCACAACAGUCAUGUUGAAAACAACAUUGUUUCUGACAGAUAUCUAGGAUUUGAACUGAGCUUGAACUUGACUAUAGAAAGCAGGCAUACCUGUUCCAGAAAGCAGCAUUUCUUUUUUAGAAUUUUUAAUUUAUGAGUUUAAACUAGUUUCCCACUCUGUGUCUAAAGCCUCACCUCUCUGCUAUGCAGUUUAAUCCCACACAGGGCAAUUAAUCUCUCUUUCAGGCAGCAUUUAAAAGCAAACAAUUCAUUCUGCAAGUGAUAUUGUGUUGCUUGGGAUAUGAAUACAAAUCUAAAAAGCUUCUAUUUAUUGUCUUACUUAGGAAAUCCAAUCACUCACCCAACAAAUAUUAAUUAAGCAUCUACUAUAUUCAAAGCAUUCCACUUCCUAAGAAACUAGGACAUUAUGGGCUGAGAUGACCAGGAAAAAACUUCUUUGAAGGCCUCCAGAAUGCUGUCAAGUAGAACCAGUAGAAGAGGACACACCAGGAAGACUUAAUGAAAAAGGCACGUUGGCAAAAUAGGGCAAGCAUUUCAGAGGAUGGAAAUUAGUACUCUCUGCUCUGAGUACAGGGACAGGGGAGGGAGGUAAGGAGAGGGAGACACAUCACGAAGAUCGUGUCCUUUGUGGCAAAGCAAAAGAGCGUAUGUUUUAUUUGGUAGGCAACGAGGAACCACUGAUUACCACGAUCAGAUUGAUAAUUAAGAAAUUAAAUGGUAAUUAAGAAAAAUCAUUCUGACAUCAGUGUGGAAGAUGGAUGCAAAGAGAAUUCGAGGGGACCAAACCUAGAAUCUAAUGAACUAAAACAGAUGAUGAGCUGUGGGACCAGAACAGAGGAAACGUGUAUGGGAGACACAAGAAGCAGGCAGUGUGUUAACAUGUACCAAGCUCAUCCUAACGACAAGUGGGAAUUCAAAAGCCAGCUGGAACUAUAAAUGCUGAACCUCUAAAAGGAACUGAGGCAUGAAGGUCCUCUACCAUGAUCAGCUCUUCUUCACAUUCUGGCAGAGGGAAAUACCAACCAAGGCCUUUGGAGAUUGAAUGGUCAAUCUUGAAAUAAUCAAAGCCUAGCUGCUUGGAACAAGGGAGCGAAACUUUUCCUAAUGCCAUUAACAUUUCCCUCCAUCCAAAUAUGAAAAAUGGGCCCAUUUAUUAUUUAUCAUCUUUCUAUCUGAUAUUUCACCUGCUGCCAACACAGCUAAAUCCAGCCAAGCUCCCCCCAUGGCAGACCCAGAGGCAGAUGAUCCCAGCAAAGCAGAAUCAUCACACCCAGGGAACCAGAUGGGUGACCUUUCUCUCUCCUGCUCUCCAGACUUGAGAACAGACAGUCAAAAUCUCUAGGUGGCUCAGAUCUUUGCUUCUAUAAAUUAAAAUGUAUAUUUUCC
Molecule: long non-coding RNA, 1520 nt
Filed under: Vulpes vulpes (red fox)
Lineage: Eukaryota; Metazoa; Chordata; Mammalia; Carnivora; Canidae
Description: lncRNA (ENSVVUG00000012134.1)
Source: RNAcentral